CGGGAUUCCCUUAGUAACGGCGAGCGAACAGGGAUGAGCCCAGCAUGUAAAUCUCCAGCCAAUCUUGGCUGGCGAAUUGUAGUCUGGAGGAGUGCUCCCUGGGUGGGGGCCGGCCGAAGUAUACUGGAAGGUAUCGCUCUAGAGGGUGAGAGCCCCGUAGGCCGGCUGUCCAACCCUUCACGGGACGCUUUCUGAGAGUCGGGUUGUUUGGGAAUACAGCCCCAAUUGGGUGGUAAACCCCAUCUAAGGCUAAAUAUCAAUGGGAGACCGAUAGCGAAAAAGUACCUCGAGGGAACGAUGAAAAGACCGCUGGCAAGCGAGUAAAAGAGUGCAUGAAAUUGUGUAGUGGGAAGGGAUGGCCCGGUAGCCUGCACCCGGGUUAAUGUGGCUCGUCAGAGCUGCUGUUUGCACUGGGUGCUGGCUGGUACCGGCGCCCCUGGCCGUACAACACCUUGCUGAGAUGCUUGGCACUGCGGGCAGGGGUGCUGAGGACGAUCGGUGCUUUGCCCCCUCGGGGAGCUGCGCUGACGGGGUACCAGCUGAAGCCGGUCCAUCUG
This 557-nucleotide ribosomal RNA is filed under the name Arnoldiella kosterae. RNAcentral's name for it is "eukaryotic LSU rRNA". It matches the Rfam family "Eukaryotic large subunit ribosomal RNA", at positions 70 to 647 of the family's 3401-position model. Lineage: Eukaryota; Viridiplantae; Chlorophyta; Ulvophyceae; Cladophorales; Pithophoraceae. The record is from RNAcentral.